GUCAAGAAGAGGCACAUGAUGCAAGUGCCUCGGCGCGGCCGAUGCGUGCUCUGCGCCGCCGCGUGAUGGACGCGCGCGGCCGGGUGGGAGCGGCGCAGAGCCGGGGGGCCCGAUCGCUGCGGUGCCGGCGGUGUGAGCGGAGGGUACUAGCUGGCGGUGACUGCUGGGUGUCAGGUUGGAGCGUGUGAGGCCCGCCGGUCUCGAACGGCGGGAGUGGCUCCGGGACCCAUCUGGAUGAAAGGAUCCCGCCGCUGAUCUCUUAGAAGGUUCCGCGCGGAUUUCGGCGGGUGCUGGUCCUGCUGCGCUGGUGAAGGCUCUGCGAGGUCACCGAGGAGAAGCUCCUGAAAGUGCCCGUACUUAACAAAAAACAUUAAUGUAAAGGGUAUAUAAAAUCAUAAAUAUUCUUGCUUCAA
Haemorhous mexicanus (house finch) is the source of this 413-nucleotide long non-coding RNA. RefSeq lists it as uncharacterized. Lineage: Eukaryota; Metazoa; Chordata; Aves; Passeriformes; Fringillidae. The record is from RefSeq and is a predicted model, not a curated record. The transcript is spliced from 2 exons.